Molecule: ribosomal RNA, 497 nt
Filed under: uncultured bacterium
Lineage: Bacteria
Description: partial 16S ribosomal RNA
Rfam family: Bacterial small subunit ribosomal RNA
Source: RNAcentral
GAUGAACGCUGGCGGCGUGCCUAAUACAUGCAAGUCGAGCGAACAGACGAGGAGCUUGCUCCUCUGACGUUAGCGGCGGACGGGUGAGUAACACGUGGAUAACCUACCUAUAAGACUGGGAUAACUUCGGGAAACCGGAGCUAAUACCGGAUAAUAUAUUGAACCGCAUGGUUCAAUAGUGAAAGACGGUUUUGCUGUCACUUAUAGAUGGAUCCGCGCCGCAUUAGCUAGUUGGUAAGGUAACGGCUUACCAAGGCAACGAUGCGUAGCCGACCUGAGAGGGUGAUCGGCCACACUGGAACUGAGACACGGUCCAGACUCCUACGGGAGGCAGCAGUAGGGAAUCUUCCGCAAUGGGGGAAAGCUUGACGGAGCAACGCCGCGUGAGUGAUGAAGGUCUUCGGAUCGUAAAACUCUGUUAUUAGGGAAGAACAAAUGUGUAAGUAACUAUGCACGUCUUGACGGUACCUAAUCAGAAAGCCACGGCUAACUACGUG